UACAGAGGGUGCAAGCGUUAAUCGGAAUUACUGGGCGUAAAGCGCACGUAGGCGGUUUUUUAAGUCAGAUGUGAAAGCCCCGGGCUCAACCUGGGAAUUGCAUUUGAAACUGGGGAACUAGAGUAUGUGAGAGGGGGGUAGAAUUCCAAGUGUAGCGGUGAAAUGCGUAGAGAUUUGGAGGAAUACCAGUGGCGAAGGCGGCCCCCUGGCACAAUACUGACGCUGAGGUGCGAAAGCGUGGGGAGCAAACAGG
RNAcentral lists this ribosomal RNA (253 nucleotides) under uncultured bacterium. RNAcentral's name for it is "partial 16S ribosomal RNA". It matches the Rfam family "Bacterial small subunit ribosomal RNA", at positions 524 to 776 of the family's 1533-position model. The record is from RNAcentral.